CUGGAAGUGAUGCAAAUGUUCAGAACCUGAUUUGCAGUGAUGGUUUCUGUAUUCAUACUGUCUGAUCCAG
Molecule: small nucleolar RNA, 70 nt
Organism: Rana temporaria (common frog)
Lineage: Eukaryota; Metazoa; Chordata; Amphibia; Anura; Ranidae
Source: RefSeq, a predicted model, not a curated record